UCCGUCAUCACGCGAAUCGGAAGAGAAAUUCAACGACGGGGAAAUAUAGGGCUUAGUUAUACACACGCAGCCAGGGCCUGCAUACCUCCGAAAUCGCAUUGGUUGAUACGAAUCACGUGUCUGUGAAAAUACGUGACCCUAACCC
Molecule: long non-coding RNA, 145 nt
Organism: Priapulus caudatus
Lineage: Eukaryota; Metazoa; Priapulida; Priapulimorpha; Priapulimorphida; Priapulidae
Exons: 3
Source: RefSeq, a predicted model, not a curated record